UGUCCAUUUUAUACAGAGCAUGCCUGGAAUUUACCAGUAUUAGAAACAAUUUAUAAGAUAUCACUGCAUGUUUUAUUUCAAGGGUUCCGAAACUCAUUGCACAUAAUUUCCAGAAAUGGACCUAAUGUUCUCAGAAUAAUUCUAGAAUAGAAGUGUUAGAGGGCUAAUCAGAAAGUGACACUUCAUCCUCAAAUUAGCAAUAUGUUCUUAUCUGCAAAUCUCAUCCAAAUCUCAGUCCAAACUAGAACAGUCAAACAUGUCUGAAUUCCCAUUGAAUUUAAAUGCAGUUGAAUAUGAGGAGUUCCUAACACAUCUCUAGUACAUUAAAUUAACAUGCCUUAUAUCUAAUGGAACUCUAUUAGUUGGAAUAAAUAACAACAAACUGAAAAAAAUUAAAAAUGUGAAAAAUAGCACAUUAAGAAAACUUUAGUAAAAUUUAAACCAUCAUUUGGAGUAGAGAUAAGCUGAACUACAAUCUCAACAUGGUGACUGAUCUAAAUGCAGGUAAUACCUGAUAGGAAAAUAAGAUGAGAUAGAAACAAAUACAAUACAUAAAAACUGGGAAGGGUUUGUUUUUUUUUUUUUUCCUAUUUCAUUUAAUUUGAUUUUGAAUCUUUCAUCCAUUGCUGAUUUAAACAGUGGUGUUUGAUCAGUAGAUCGGAGUGAUGACUUCUCUACUAGAACAUUUGCUUUGCUCCUGCAUUGGGCUUAGUUCAAAUAAGAGUUGCAGACUAUCACUAAAUCCCGCUAAAGAAAUAAUAUUUGUAUGCUUUCAUCGCUCACUUGCAUUGGAGACACAUAUUUUAAGAAGGCCACCAAAAAGAAAACAACUUAGUGGUAUGCAAGAGUCUACCUAAGAUCUGGAAUAUGUGUUUUUUAUGAAUUGCAUAUACAAGAGACAUUACAUUCAUGGCAUUUAAAGUGGAUGCUUUCUAUUUCUAGAAACAAUUUUUAGUAACAAAAGUCAUAGAAGUUCUCUAUUCCAGUUGUGUCUUUAAGUCCGAAAAGAGGUCACCUCUUAAGAAUUGGAAUGCCAGGCGAUCUUUCCAUUCACUUGGCCUCUGACACUGAGGCUGAUGACAUUGUUAAUAGGAACACUAACAGAUUCUGGGGAAAAGUGGUUUUUUUGCAAAAGAUUUGGCAGUUAAGUUUCUUAUGUUUUGAUUGGAUGAAUGUUUAAAUGAUUUGCUAAUAAAUAAGAAAUUUUUGAAAGGGAAUUAAAAAAUUCUUCUGAUUAAUAUUAGCCUUAGUUUUGCUCUGAGCAGUGCAAUAAGUGGAAAGUUUCCUUACCUGGAUAGCUCUCAGUAUGGCAUGACAUAUUAUGUGAUAGAUUGUACAAUCAGCUUCAAUUCUGGAACUGGGGAGAGGGAAAAUUGCUUAUUAUGCACAUUUAUUUCUUUAAAAUUUUGAUACUGAAAGAAAGUAUUAUUAUAUAUUUUUCCAUAACAGUCCAUGCUUUUUACUGAAGGUUUCAAAAUUUCACUGAAUCUCCUAAAAAAAAAAAUCUACAUACUGUUAUGAUUUCAUAUUGUAAAUUUUAAUAAAAUCCCCACACAUCUUUGCUCUUUAAAAUGCACUGGUUUAUAAUAGUAUAUUUUAACAUUUAGGAUUUUAAUACCAAUGCUUCAGUGUAAUAAAACUUUUAGUGAUUCCCUGGCAUGUCUUGUUCAGACUUAAGUUCCUCAUUUACAUAUCUGAUGUUCCCCAAGAGACAGACAAGCUUCAAGUUAAUUAUCCAUGUAGCUGUAAGAACUCCUGUUUCCUUGGUAAGAACUCUCUAAAAGAAUACUAACAGUUAUUAAAUAUUACUUCGAGUUUUAAAAAGUAAUCAAAUUGCAUUUAAAGAGACACUAAAGAGAUACUUAAAUUUAAUACUCUUUGCAGACUAAAUAGUAUAUAAACCAUGUACUGCUUUCAUGCAAUUCACAUAUAAAACAACAUUUGAAAACUAGCAACAAGCCCAAACUUCAAGCACUACAGAUACUUGAAAGCAAAAGGGCUCUUCAACAGGCUCACUGUUCCAUAACACAGUCAUUUUGCACAAAGGCAAGACAGCACCUGUUGAAAGCAAUGACACAUUCCUGACUGCUUCUAGUAGAGAAAGAUUAUAUUACUAAUAGUUCAGAAAAAUGUGGAGCCAAUAAUGCUUUUUCCAGAAAAUAGCAAAUGAGAGAACACAUAGUUCUGAAAUGAAAUUAAACUACAGUAAAAACACAAACACAUCUUAUUACUCUCACUACGCUACAAUUACAGAGAGGAGCAGUGGAUAAAUACUGUAGCAUAUAUGUUGUCAUUUGUGACCAAAUGAAUCUUUAAAAAAAUGGUUUGAUGUAGCAUGGAAAAGAGGAACACAAUAACUGGCAAGCAUAAAAUGGGCUUUAAUCCUACCAUUCUACAAUGCUGCUACUCACAUAGUAUCAAAAUGCCUUCAGUAGAGUGGGUAGACCAUACCUAAUAUAUGUCAUCUGUGGCUCAUUGUCAUCCUCAGCUUCAGCUGGCAGUUUACAAGUACAGAUAUCAGGUGAAAUAAUUAAUCUGAGUAUUUUACAAUAAAUGAACAUGUGCAUCUGUUUCCCAGAGUCCUGUGAUGGCUUGCAUGAGAGGCAAAUUCAUUGACUGUCUCCAAAUUAUUACAUGCAUCCUAUAAUUAAGUUACAAUAAAUGAAUAGAAUGUGGAUGCUCUUCUGUACACAGAAAACAACAAUCUCAUUCCACAAAGACCUUGGAGGUCAUUCAAGAAACAAUUAGAUGUCCUGCUUCAAAUAGCCUUUCUUCUGUUUCCUACAUCUUCAGUGCUCACACAUUCAAAUGAAGCCAAACAGAGCAACAUACAGAGAAUACAAAUGCCUUGGGAAAAGUUGGUAUUCUUUCCAGAAAAAUGAGGUGGGAAGAAUCAUGUCUCACAUUUUACAGACGGGCAUUUGUUGACCAAUUUCUGUUAUUUUAGUCUCAGCAUUACUGAGUACAAAGUGAAAAACACUAACUAAAACCACAGUAAUUAUUCUGUUAGGUUUAGACAGAAGAGGAUACAUACUGAUGUCAGCUAUGCACACAUUAAGCUCUGGGGUACAAGUAUUACCAUGAGAACAGAAAGAGGUAAGACCUAACUUUGACAUGUCAACCAGGAGUCUUCUAUACCAUGUAGAAAGCAUAUCUGAAAUUUUCUGGCAGUUUACAUUUGAUCAGAGUUUUGAUCUAAUGCAAUAAAAACAGUUAAAACUCAGUAAUGCUCACAGGCUUUGGGAAUGCAAAAUCUUGCAAUCCUUAGGCAGAUAGUGCUGCCACUGACUUCAAAGAAGACAAAAGAAGACUUCAAAUAAACAAAGUCUAUUGUCACCUUGGGAUGAUGCUUUCUGGCUGAAACACAAAACAAUGUUGACAGACAACUGCAAAAGAGCGAUUUCCAGGGCUCCUCAGUCAAAAGAAGGGUCACUGAGUAGCAGACCCUUAAGGGCACUUGCAGGACUGUAUGGAAAUUGUUCCUCCAGGAGCCUAUUCUGAAUUGGGGAAAUCUUAGCCUGUGAAGCUUAUUUCUAUAGGAUUGAAAUACAAUGAAAAAAUUAACAAAAAAUACCUUCUAAGAUACAGAUGGUUCACAACUUACUACCCUGAAAUAUUUCAACUUUUCUUUCCUUUAUUUUCAGUUUUUUCCCUCAGCCUUCCUAUUUCUAGCGGAACCAAGAAAUAAUUACGAGGUGAGUGGAGCAAGUAUCAGUAAUGAGGUAGGCUUUGCAGUUUGAUCUGAACAGUUGCCUAGGUGAAGUUAAAAGAACAAUGCAGACCACUAUAAGAUUUGUCAGUAGAAGAUUCGCCACUAGAAGAUUUGUCUCAGAAACAAUGGCUUGUUUAAUGUACAUCUUUAGAUCAGAGAUACACAAAAUACUAAGAAGAUGGCAUAGUCUUGGACUCUCACUAGAGUGAAAUUUUUGAAAAAACCCCUAUUAGCUCAAACUACAAAAAUAAAUGAAGUUAAUAAAGAAAAAUGUGUCCAGCUUGUCUAUUAUUUCUUGAAUGUAAGCAUUAGCAUUUCUUCUCUUCUCACAGUCAAGUCCACCAAUAAAGAGUUAAGCUUGGCAAGACCUGAGUACUGAAUUAACUAGGGAAAUACAGAGAAAUUGAACAAUAAAAAGCAAAUAGGAGAUUAAAUUACUACUCCUGCAAAAAAUAUAUGAAAUUAAGAACCUUUUUUUCCUUGGUCUGGAUGAGGACCAAGAGUGAUUACACACAGCACUCCCAUUAUCUAGAAUACAGAACCAGUGACUAGCAAGAGAGAACCUAUUCUACAGAGUAGCUGUGAAAUAAUCUGUUCUUCAAAGAUGAAGCUGUCAACUUGCUCUGAAGAUUCAAGCUGGAUUUUCCCUCAUCAAUGGAAAGUGUGUAAUUGUCUUUGAAUUCUUGCUAUUGUUUUCAGUCCAUGCAGUAGUUAUUUCAAAUGAGGAAUCUGAAGCUAAACAGAGCUCUCUAUGCAAUUGAUCCUGUGUAUGACAGUCUUGAUCCCUCAGUGAAAUGAAUUCAGACAUAGACAGAGCACAUUCUUGGAUCUGCAACUAAAUAUGUAUUGUGAAAGAUCCUGAUUAAUAAGUGCUAGGUUUCAUAUUUGUACCUUUGUAUAAUUCUCAAGACCGUAUCCCAUCACAUAAUUCAUAGCAAAACAAAAUUAAGAUUUUAAUUUAUUCCACAGAACAGCACUUAUUAUUUGCCAUCCAUUGAGUUUCUAUGCUAGAGAAUACUCAAAUUCAUUUCAAAUUUCAUGCCUAACAAGAAUUGAAGAAUUUUGUGCUGUAUUUUAAUUUACACCAGUGUUGAUGGCAUAAAUCUCCUCACACUUCAUUAUAGGAUGUGAGAUGAUUUGGCCACCAUACGCAAAAGGCAAAGAAUACAUCCUGUCUCCUCCUUGUGGCACAGAGAGAGGCGAUGAAUCAAAAAGGUGCUCAGAGUCAGACAAAAUGGCCGUAUGGUGCUUCAGUGUUCAAAUUAUGUGUGUUCUUUAAAAAAUUGAAUGCUGGAUAAUGAUUUUCCACACUGCUAUACUACAGGUAAGUUCAAAAGCAGUCAUUGUCAGUAUGCUGAUUGAUGUAAAGCCUUCAGUCUCUGGGGGGAAGAGUAUAGCACUUCCUACUGCUUGAUCCAUAAAGCAGCAUUUACUGCAGCCCACCUUCCUGGUCUGUGCUGCAUAAUACAUUGCCAGAUUAUGGGAGUUAGGGAAUUAAAAGGCAAAGAAAAGAAUGGAUGAAAAAGCCCUGACCCCCUCCUCCACAGGUGAAAUAUUUGAGUCCCUGCCUCAGGGCAUUGGAAGUUGACACUAAUUGCCAUCCAGGUACCCACUACUCAUAUUCACCUAAAUAUUUCCCACUUCUGGCUGAUCAACCAAUGUAAAAUUUAAUUGAAAAAGUUUUCAUUUAACGUUUGCAUCCUGUGAUGACUAGCUGGGACUGGAAGCAUUCACUAUCAGAACUACAGUAUAAAAAGGGAGAAUAGCACCACGUGAAGGAGCCCAAGUAAAAGGGAAGAAGUGAGAAGGGGGGGAAAAAGGCUCUUAAGGAUGCACACUUCAAGUUUUUUUUUACUAAGAACCGACAACUUGCUCUUCAAGUGAUACUUCAUGUGCCAGGUACUGUGCCAGUUGUUUGAUUCUGUAUUUGCUACUUAGUGAUCACUAUCUGGAUUUUUGUAGGCAUUUUCUUAUGGCUGUUGAACAGAAACCUGCAACACUAUCCACGGAUAGGAAGGGGAAAGUAUUAUUGAUCUGUGUCUGCUUUGAUGUGCUGCUUUCUGGGAGUGAAAACCAAUCUGUUACAAUCAGAUGCUGCACAGCCUGAAUUAUAUUGAGGUUCCCAUCAAUAUAUAGAAUAUAUGGGAGCAAAUAAACAGUAGUCACAAAAGAAAGACUUGACCAGGUUAUUAACCAACUAUGGGUGUUGAAAAAAGGGAAAUUCAUGUGGGAUCCAGACAGGUCUCAUUCUUAAAGACCUUUUGGGGACAAAAGUACAAGAAAGGAAACGUUUGAUAUUGGAGACCAUGCAGAGAAGCCAAAGAGGAUUUGUGCUUUAUGAAGCAUUAAAGUUACUUCUGUAAUGACAGUCUAUUUGGAACAGAAAUGCCCCAAAAAAAAAAAAAAAAAAAAA
Taeniopygia guttata (zebra finch) is the source of this 6125-nucleotide long non-coding RNA. The record is from Ensembl. Lineage: Eukaryota; Metazoa; Chordata; Aves; Passeriformes; Estrildidae.